RNAcentral lists this transfer RNA (83 nucleotides) under bacterium. RNAcentral describes it as "tRNA-Leu". It matches the Rfam family "tRNA". From Rfam's summary of the family: Transfer RNA (tRNA) molecules are approximately 80 nucleotides in length. Their secondary structure includes four short double-helical elements and three loops (D, anti-codon, and T loops). Further hydrogen bonds mediate the characteristic L-shaped molecular structure. tRNAs have two regions of fundamental functional importance: the anti-codon, which is responsible for specific mRNA codon recognition, and the 3' end, to which the tRNAs corresponding amino acid is attached (by aminoacyl-tRNA synthetases). tRNAs cope with the degeneracy of the genetic code in two manners: having more than one tRNA (with a specific anti-codon) for a particular amino acid; and 'wobble' base-pairing, i.e. permitting non-standard base-pairing at the 3rd anti-codon position. The record is from RNAcentral. RNAcentral also lists the same sequence under 1 other name.
GCGAGGAUGGCGGAACAGGCAGACGCACUGGAUUUAGGAUCCAGCCCCGAACAGGGAUGGGGGUUCAACUCCCCCUCCUCGCA